ACCGAGGCAGUCUGGGGAAAAGAGCGGCGGUGAGAAAAUUGCAGUGUUUGGCCGCCGUUAAUUUUAAAGAUUAAAAAAAGAAGAGAUUUGUCAUUUUGAAGCCGCUUGCUCUAGAGUUUCCUGGAGAUCUCAGCCUCUGUCUUGUGUGCUGUUAUUUUGGCUUAAAAGAACAUCUAGAAACGAUUUUCAGAAACUGAAACCCCAGACACCUUAUAGGAUCUUAAGCAGAAGGGGUGGGGAGGGGGAGUGCUUGCUGUUAGAAAGGUACUAUUUAAAAACUGCAUGUGAGAGUGGGGAUAGGAAUGACAUCGUGGAUGCCAUCAGAAGCCACAUUAACCGCAGGUUCUAACUCAAAAAAGUCACAUGCGUCUGAGUACUAUGAUGGUGGAGAGUUAAGGACACUGCAGGCCAGUCAGAAGCUUCUUUUCCCCUUUGGCUCUUCUCCCCGUUUUCACGUGGAUGUUCAGGUUUCUGAUGGCUGUCUGUUUUAUCUAUGCUAGCAUGGAUAUUGGACUUUCCGGUCUUCAAACUUACUCUCCUAGCCACAGAAGAUGACCCUUUUAGUUUACCGCGAGAUAUUAAGUGUUUGGGAAGAUCCGGUUGGCUGCCAGCACUUGCAAGUGAAGAAGCAGCACAACUCUUUGUUUUGGAUUAUUCCUAGCAGAGAGGCUCCAACAAUUUUGCAGACGGACUCCCGGGCCUCUGGAACCCGUACUACGUCCUUCACGUUCAGGAGCAGAGAGCCUUUGCGAAACAGAUUCCUGAUAGUGGAGGUAAGCCAAGGCAACGCUACCACUGUCUCAGACUUCUUAGAUGUGAGUGUGAACAUUUGAAGUGUUCGUAUACAAUGUUGCCACCUCUAGCAGGUGACUUUAUUUUUUAAUUAUUUUUUAAAAAAUAUUUAUUUUUUUGGGAGAGCACAAGCAGGGGAGGGGCAGAGAGUGGGGGACAGAGGAUCUGAAGCUGGCUCUGUGCUGACAGGCUGACAGCAGUGAGCCUGAUGUGGGACUUGAACCCAUGAAUCGUGACAUCACGACCUGAGCCAAAGUCAGACACUUAACUGACUGAGCCACCCAGGCGCCCCAUCCUCUCCUUCUUUAUAUACAGCUGUCUGUUAAUUUAUCUCUUAUUAGUUCAACAUGUGGCCAGAAGGCCCAUGAGACUAUUAAAGUAACCAGUGACUGGUCAGCACAUCCCAAAGUUAAGCUAU
RNAcentral lists this long non-coding RNA (1210 nucleotides) under Panthera leo (lion). Its description in RNAcentral is "lncRNA (ENSPLOG00000021508.1)". Lineage: Eukaryota; Metazoa; Chordata; Mammalia; Carnivora; Felidae. The record is from RNAcentral.